This 262-nucleotide ribosomal RNA is filed under the name uncultured bacterium. RNAcentral's name for it is "partial 16S ribosomal RNA". It matches the Rfam family "Bacterial small subunit ribosomal RNA", at positions 515 to 776 of the family's 1533-position model. The record is from RNAcentral.
GCGCGGUAAUACGAAGGGUGGAAGCGGUAAUCGGAAUUACUGGGAGUAAAGGGUGCGUAGGCGGUUGUUUAAGUCUGUCGUGAAAUCCCCGGGCUCAACCUGGGAAUGGCGAUGGAUACUGGGCAGCUAGAGUGUGUCAGAGGAUGGUGGAAUUUCCGGUGUAGCGGUGAAAUGCGUAGAGAUCGGAAGGAACAUCAGUGGCGAAGGCGGCCAUCUGGGACAACACUGACGCUGAAGCACGAAAGCGUGGGGAGCAAACAGG